AUUACAAAAAAUGUUGACGGCCACGUGUCACAUUCUGAUUGGACAUGAAAAGGUGCGCUGAAGAACCAACUCUAACAUUUUUCUGUUUGUCAUCCAAUUAGAAUGUGACACGUGAUAGUCAACGUUU
Glycine soja is the source of this 127-nucleotide non-coding RNA. The record is from Rfam. NCBI's taxonomy places the organism in Eukaryota, Viridiplantae, Streptophyta, Magnoliopsida, Fabales, Fabaceae.